AAACUCAAAGGAAUUGACGGGGACCCGCACAAGCAGCGGAGCAUGUGGUUUAAUUCGAAGCAACGCGAAGAACCUUACCAAGGCUUGACAUCCUCUGACAGCCGUAGAAAUACGGUUUCCCUUCGGGGCAGAGAGACAGGUGGUGCAUGGUUGUCGUCAGCUCGUGUCGUGAGAUGUUGGGUUAAGUCCCGCAACGAGCGCAACCCUUAUCAUUAGUUGCCAGCACGAAAGGUGGGAACUCUAAUGAGACUGCCGGGGAUAACUCGGAGGAAGGUGGGGACGACGUCAAAUCAUCAUGCCCCUUAUGUCUUGGGCUACACACGUGCUACAAUGGCCGGUACAAAGGGCUGCGAAGCCGUAAGGUGGAGCGAAUCCCAUAAAGCCGGUCUCAGUUCGGAUCGUGGGCUGCAACCCGCCCACGUGAAGCCGGAGUUGCUAGUAAUCGCGAAUCAGCAUGUCGCGGUGAAUGCGUUCCCGGGUCUUGUACACACCGCCCGUCACACCAUGGGAGUUGGGAGCGCCCGAAGCCAGUGAGCUAACCAGCAAUGGAGGCAGCUGUCGAAGGUGAGACCAAUGACU
Molecule: ribosomal RNA, 579 nt
Filed under: uncultured Lachnospiraceae bacterium
Lineage: Bacteria; Bacillati; Bacillota; Clostridia; Lachnospirales; Lachnospiraceae
Description: bacterial SSU rRNA
Rfam family: Bacterial small subunit ribosomal RNA
Source: RNAcentral